GUGCUGUAUGUCAACCUCAUCUGAUCGUAUCAAAGAUCUUUCAAAUUUAUUAUUAGAGAACCCUAUUGAUUGAUCUUGACUUUAAUUCGAUCUGUGCUUCACAAUUUCUUGAUCAAGUCACUUGAAUCUGACCCUCAGAUAAGAGAUCCUGAAUUGCCCUGGUAUCUGGAUGGUCCGACACAUCUGGACAACAGUCCUCUUUCC
RNAcentral lists this long non-coding RNA (204 nucleotides) under Elaeis guineensis (African oil palm). RNAcentral's name for it is "long non-coding RNA (EGUI_LNC022397)". The record is from RNAcentral. Lineage: Eukaryota; Viridiplantae; Streptophyta; Magnoliopsida; Arecales; Arecaceae.